AAAUGACGGUACCUGACUAAUAAGCAUCGGCUAACUCCGUGCCAGCAGCCGCGGUAAGACGGAGGAUGCAAGUGUUAUCCGGAAUCACUGGGCGUAAAGCGUCUGUAGGUGGUUUAAUAAGUCAACUGUUAAAUCUUGGGGCUCAACCUCAAAAUCGCAGUCGAAACUAUUAGACUAGAGUAUAGUAGGGGUAAAGGGAAUUUCCAGUGGAGCGGUGAAAUGCGUAGAGAUUGGAAAGAACACCGAUGGCGAAGGCACUUUACUGGGCUAUAACUGACACUCAGAGACGAAAGCUAGGGUAGCAAAUGGGAUUAGAUACCCCAGUAGUCCUAGCCGUAAACAAUGGAUACUAGAUGUUGAACAGAUCGACCUGUGCAGUAUUAAAGCUAACGCGUUAAGUAUCCCGCCUGGGAAGUAUGUUCGCAAGAAUGAAACUCA
RNAcentral lists this ribosomal RNA (438 nucleotides) under uncultured microorganism. RNAcentral's name for it is "bacterial SSU rRNA". It matches the Rfam family "Bacterial small subunit ribosomal RNA", at positions 467 to 903 of the family's 1533-position model. The record is from RNAcentral.